CGUUAUCCGGAAUUACUCGGGCGUAAAGCGUUCGUAGGCGGUUAGUUAAGUUAGAUGUGAAAGCCCCGGGCUUAACCUGGGAACUGCAUUUAAAACUGGCUAACUCGAGUUUAGGAGAGGGAAGUGGAAUUUCAGGUGUAGCAGUGAAAUGCGUAGAGAUCUGAAGGAACACCAGUGGCGAAGGCGACUUCCUGGACUAAAACUGACGCUGAGGAACGAAAGCGUGGGUAGCAAACGGGAUUAGAUACCCCGGUAGUCCACGCCGUAAACGAUGUCAACUAGCCGUUGGGCCUAUAUACAGGUUUAGUGGCGGAGCUAACGUAUUAAGUUGACCGCCUGGGGAGUACGGCCGCAAGGUUAAAACUCAAAUGAAUUGACGGGGGCCCGCACAAGCGGUGGAGCAUGUGGUUUAAUUCGAUGCAACGCGAAGAACCUUACCUACCCUUGACAUCCAGAGAAUCUGUUAGAGAUAGUAGAGUGCCUUCGGGAACUCUGAGACAGGUGCUGCAUGGCUGUCGUCAGCUCGUGUCGUGAGAUGUUGGGUUAAGUCCCGUAACGAGCGCAACCCUUAUCCUUAGUUGCUAGCAGGUCANGCUGAGAACUCUAAGGAGACUGCCGGUUGAUA
Molecule: ribosomal RNA, 625 nt
Filed under: uncultured bacterium
Lineage: Bacteria
Description: bacterial SSU rRNA
Rfam family: Bacterial small subunit ribosomal RNA
Source: RNAcentral